This 254-nucleotide ribosomal RNA is filed under the name uncultured bacterium. RNAcentral's name for it is "partial 16S ribosomal RNA". It matches the Rfam family "Bacterial small subunit ribosomal RNA", at positions 524 to 776 of the family's 1533-position model. The record is from RNAcentral.
UACGUAGGGGGCAAGCGUUGUCCGGAAUUACUGGGUGUAAAGGGCGUGUAGGCGACUCCUUAAGUUGAAUGUGAAAUCUCCCGGCUCAACUGGGAGGAGUCAUUCAAUACUGAGGGGAUGUGAGGACAGAAGAGGGAAGUGGAAUUCCCGGUGUAGCGGUAAAAUGCGUAGAUAUCGGGAGGAACACCAGUGGCGAAGGCGGCUUCCUGGUCUGUCCCUGACGCUGAGGCGCGAAAGCUAGGGGAGCAAACGGG